Molecule: ribosomal RNA, 609 nt
Filed under: uncultured Pseudomonadota bacterium
Lineage: Bacteria; Pseudomonadati; Pseudomonadota
Description: bacterial SSU rRNA
Rfam family: Bacterial small subunit ribosomal RNA
Source: RNAcentral
GGGUGAGUAAUGUCUGGGAAACUGCCUGAUGGAGGGGGAUAACUACUGGAAACGGUAGCUAAUACCGCAUAACGUCGCAAGACCAAAGAGGGGGACCUUCGGGCCUCUUGCCAUCGGAUGUGCCCAGAUGGGAUUAGCUAGUAGGUGGGGUAACGGCUCACCUAGGCGACGAUCCCUAGCUGGUCUGAGAGGAUGACCAGCCACACUGGAACUGAGACACGGUCCAGACUCCUACGGGAGGCAGCAGUGGGGAAUAUUGCACAAUGGGCGCAAGCCUGAUGCAGCCAUGCCGCGUGUAUGAAGAAGGCCUUCGGGUUGUAAAGUACUUUCAGCGGGGAGGAAGGGAGUAAAGUUAAUACCUUUGCUCAUUGACGUUACCCGCAGAAGAAGCACCGGCUAACUCCGUGCCAGCAGCCGCGGUAAUACGGAGGGUGCAAGCGUUAAUCGGAAUUACUGGGCGUAAAGCGCACGCAGGCGGUUUGUUAAGUCAGAUGUGAAAUCCCCGGGCUCAACCUGGGAACUGCAUCUGAUACUGGCAAGCUUGAGUCUCGUAGAGGGGGGUAGAAUUCCAGGUGUAGCGGUGAAAUGCGUAGAGAUCUGGAGGAAUAC